Molecule: long non-coding RNA, 799 nt
Organism: Zingiber officinale
Lineage: Eukaryota; Viridiplantae; Streptophyta; Magnoliopsida; Zingiberales; Zingiberaceae
Exons: 2
Source: RefSeq, a predicted model, not a curated record
UGCCACGAAUUCUGCGACGACCGCGAAUAAUCCUAUGUUUAGGGUUGCCGUGUGCGAAGGCUGGGUGGCAAGGGUUUUGUUGCCGUGUCCGAAGGAAGGCCGGUGCGAAGGGUCUCUCUCCGGUGGUUGUAGAUCCGGCGGCUCGGGUGCGAAGGAAGGUUGGGUGCCAAGGGUAUUUAUCUUUCUCUCUUCGGUGGUUGUAGAUCCGGCGGCUCGGGUGCGAAGGAAGGUUGGGUGCCAAGGGUAUUUGUCUUUCUCUCUCUUCGGUGGUUGUAGAUCCGGCGGCUCGGGUGCGAAGGAAGGUUGGGUGGGAAGGGUAUUUCUCUUUCUCUCUCCGGUGGUUGUAGAUCCGACGGCUGGGCCGCCGGAUCUAUGACCUAGAGGCCAGAUCUCUCGCUCCGGUGUCUGCUAGAGGGCAGAUCCAGCGCGCAGCCUGGUGUAGCCUGCACAGCUCCGGCGUGCUAGAGGGCAGAUCCGGCGGUCUACCUUUCGCAGCUUGGUCCAGCCGAGCAGAUCCAGCGGCCCAGCCGCCGGAUGUGUGGCCUGCGCAGCCCUAUGUGGCCGUGCAGAUCCGGCGGGCCACUGGAUCUGCCGUGUGCAGCCUGGUCCAGCCGGGGAGAUCUGGCGGCCUGGUCUUCAUAGCCCUAUGAGGUUCCUUAUGUAGAGGAUCCAAAUACUCCGAAGAAACGUUUUGUAAGUUUUUCAGGUUUUCUUCUAUCUAUUUAUAAAUGACUUUCCUUCUUUUCAAGGCAACGACUGGACUCCUCAUGCUGAUUUGGUGCAGUAGAUUUUGAUAAAA